Molecule: long non-coding RNA, 787 nt
Filed under: Bemisia tabaci
Lineage: Eukaryota; Metazoa; Arthropoda; Insecta; Hemiptera; Aleyrodidae
Description: lncRNA ENSSSA1NGG008801
Source: RNAcentral
AUUAAGUAUACAUCAAUUGCAAGACGGCCGAUAUAAAUAGACCGCUGCGAAUUUUUUAGACUACACAUCUAGUUCUGGAGUAGAGAAUUUAGUUUUUCACCAGUGAAUUUAGUUCUGCCUUCAAAAUCAGAAAACCAUUCACAAUGAAUUUCCGUGCUUCUCAACUAUUGUGCAUUUUUAUGGUAAUAUGCGGUGUUUGCAGCACCCUUGCUUCACUAAUUGACCUCGAUUCAGAGACGAUUUCUGCAAUCCUGGCGCGUCGGUCUGAGCCUGCAGAAUGUAUUGGAGAUUGGAGUCUCAAUUUUUAGUGCGCACUGGGACACGAUGUAACAGAAGAGGCAAGAAUGCAAUAAUGACUACGAAAAAUGCGCAGGCUGAACAGGCUGAAAAGAGUGAGAAGUUAAACAUUAGAAUGCUACAUAAAGUCGAGAAGGGGAGGACUUUCCGAACACGAUACCAUAAUGUAGUUGUCCGAGUGGAUCCACCCCUUCGGCACUUUUCGACGGGAAAAAUACAUUUUAACGCCUCAGAGAAAACAAAAGAAGAGCGAUGAAAUAAGUGUGCAGGCAACGAAAACAAAGGAUCACGCGGUGCAAUAGAUGAUGACUUUAUUACCGCGUUUUUGAGCUCAACCGUCGUAUUUAGGAAGAACGUCCUAUGAAAAUUUAGAUGUUGCAAAAUUUCUCCUGAUGAAAUAUUUAUUUUUGAAAAAAGUUAUUAUUUUUUUCUCUUGAACUUUGCAGGUGCGGUAGGUCAAAUCACGGAUACAAUUCUCUGAAAAAUUCGA